Molecule: RNA transcript, 2945 nt
Organism: Drosophila guanche
Lineage: Eukaryota; Metazoa; Arthropoda; Insecta; Diptera; Drosophilidae
Gene: Prp4k
Gene name: serine/threonine-protein kinase PRP4 homolog
Exons: 10
Source: RefSeq, a predicted model, not a curated record
AUGAGUGACGAAAAAAGUCUCGACUCCAGCAAUAAUAGCGGAACAGAGGAGCGCCGAGCCAAGCUCAAGAAACAGAAGAAGCAUAAGAAACACAAAAAGUCCACAUCCAGCAAGAGUGAUAAAGAUAAACAUAUUCACAAAAAGCACAAAAAGUCCAAGAAGCGUCACCACCGCCAUAGCGAGUCUUCGCAUGACUCUGACGCACAUUCAAGCGCCAAGCAACAGAAGAGCUAUGGACUUAGCGACAAGUUCUCCGAAAUCAUGCAGAAGGCGAGCCGCAAUGGCACCGAGUUCUGUAUAUCUAGCUCUAAAUUAUUGCAAACAGACCCGUGUAGUCUCGUGGAAGAGAUUACAAAGACAAUACAGAACAAGGUGCUCCCAGUUUUGGAGGUGGGCAGUUCGAGCAGCGAGAGUGAUGUCCCCAUGGAUGUUGCUAGUCCGAUUAUUGCUUCCAUUAUAGAAGAUGAGUUAAAUUUAGAGGAUCUUAUGAAGCAGAAGGCAUUGCUACAGGCCCGCCUGGGCGCGUACAUGUCGGACCCAGACGCUGAUGAAAGAAGUGAACCCAAUUCCCGAACACAGUCGGUGCAGCAAAUACCCAGCAAGGGCCAUUCGCAGCCAUUAUUCCAACCGCAUCGGAUGGUCGUCAGCAAGUCUGCAGCGCCGUUGGCUACUGCAACUAGUAAAAAUGUUAAUAAUAAACAGUCUAGCAUCCAUAACUCAAAUGAAUCCGAUGUUAUAUUAUUGGAUGAUUCUAGCGGAGGCCAACGCACGCCCUCGCCUACAAAAGAGAAGCGAAGACGACACGCACCACCUUCCACAGCAGCGGCUAGAAGUCGUGUACGCGACGAUCCGGUUCAUGGACGACGUGACCGCCGCUCUAGAGACCGGGAUCCUGUGCGUAGCCGCACUCCCACUCGCCGGAACCUUCAGCAGAACAAUCGUAACAUGGAAGACUUGCGCCAGGAGAUCAAUCGCGAUAAACAGCGGGAAAGACACGAGCAUAGCCGGGAUCGGGAGCGCCGUGGAACAGGAACAGACAGACCACAACCCACUGUUGAACCACGUACUGGUCGUCCACGGGUGCGAGACGGUCGCUUCAAUCGUCAGCGGUCUCACAGUCGCAGUAAGUUUGAGUCAGACAGGCGCCGUGAGCGCGAACGCUUCCAAGAUCGGGAUCGUGGUGGCUUUGGUGGUAACAAUCGUGUUGGAGCACGUGGCGGCGCUGACAACGACCGAGACCGCUACAAAGGCUCACUGAGCGAAGGUCAGAAGAUGCACGACAAGGAGAGCAGUGACGAUGACGUCAAUCUGGAUAUAGACAUCAACGAGGAUGAAGAUGAUGAGGAACGUAUCAUAGAGCAGCGUCGGAAAAGGCGCGAGGAGCUUCUUAAGAAACUGGGAACAGGGCAGGAAUCGCCCACUCCUCAAAAUUCAAACUCUUAUGAGUCUCGUAGCACCUCGGCAGGCUCGUCGCAACGCGAUCGCCAACCAAGAACUCCCACGCCCACCCUCACACUCAAUGACUUGGAUCACUCUAAGGAGCAGCAGCAGUUGGAAAAUUCCAACAGUCAGAAAAAUAGUUCGGGAAAAGAAAAACGCAAUGAGUGGGACAUGUUUGCGGAUCAGGAUGUUGAUUCCAAUUUCGAUUCGCCAAGCACAAUUAUUCACAACAAGCAUCAGCAUGAGAAUCCCUCCCUUACCGACAACUGGGAUGACGCCGAGGGGUAUUAUCGUGUGCGGAUUGGAGAAGUUCUAGACAAUCGCUACUUGGUAAGUGGCUACACGGGUCAAGGAGUGUUCAGCAAUGUGGUGCGUGGGCGGGAUCAGGCCCGGGGACAGGCAAAUGUAGCGAUAAAGAUCAUUCGUAACAACGAAAUUAUGCAUAAAACCGGGUUGCGAGAGUUGGAAAUCCUCAAGAAACUCAACGAUGCCGAUCCCGAAGAUCGUUUCCACUGCCUGCGGUUGAAUCGCCAUUUUUUCCACAAACAGCAUCUCUGCAUGGUGUUCGAGCCACUGGCCAUGAAUUUGCGUGAGGUGUUAAAGAAAUAUGGCAAAAAUGUCGGGUUGCACAUCAAAGCAGUGCGCAGUUACACUCAGCAGCUGUUUUUAGCUCUCAAGCUUCUGAAAAAAACAGGUAUUCUGCAUGCGGACAUUAAGCCGGAUAAUAUUUUAGUCAACGAGAAUAAUUUGAUUCUGAAGCUUUGCGACUUUGGGUCUGCUUCGGCCAUAAGUGACAAUGAAAUUACUCCUUACUUGGUGUCGCGGUUCUAUCGAUCGCCAGAGAUUAUCUUGGGAAUACCAUAUGACUAUGGAAUUGACACUUGGUCUGCUGGUUGCACCAUCUACGAGCUAUAUACGGGAAAGAUUUUAUUCAGCGGAAAGAGUAACAAUCAGAUGUUAAAGUUUUUCAUGGACGUUAAGGGCAAGAUACCAAAUCGUAUUGUAAGAAAGGGUCAAUUCAGAGAGCAGCACUUUGAUCAGAACUGCAAUUUCCUCUAUCACGAGAUAGACAAGCUCACGGAAAGGGAGAAGAUUGUUGUGAUGCCAGUCGUAAAGCCAUCGCGCAAUCUGCAGCAAGAACUCAUUGCGGAUCAAAAUCUGCCCGAUGAUCAGCAUCGCAAGGUCACUCAGCUCAAGGAUCUUCUAGAGAACAUGUUUGCCCUUGAUCCAGCGAAGCGGAUCUCACUCAAUCAAUCACUAAUGCAUCCCUUUAUACAAGAGAAAAUGUAGAGAUGAACAACGACAUCGAAUAAACUGUGCCGCUGAUCAUGGAAGAGCGCUCCUUGUUCGUGUGGCUUACUCAACUGUUGGGUUGACUACACAAGUCUAUACGGAGACCUCUUUGAUCUUCGAGUGAAAUUGUAAGUUUAUACAAAAUACAUUCCAUAUUUCUAAGCUAAGGGUAUGUUAAGAUAACCAAACAGAUACGUGAUAUAAUUUGGUGG